AUUUUUACGACCGAAAUUAAAUAAUAAUAAUGUUAUUAUGUUGAUUAACUUGAACAAAGAAAUAUUAUUUCCCUUGCACAUAACUAAAAUUGUACAACACUAGGAAACUUCUCAUUCACUGAAGGGUUGAUACUAUGGAUACACACUAGUGUCCCAAAAAGGAACUCUUUUACACUAUAAUAAUGAAUCAACUCAACUCUUUGUUUACUUGUUGCUCAGAUCAUCCAACUAGGAGGCACACGUUCUGACGACACAGGAGGCAAUGCACGAACAUUGAUAUCAAGAGGAAGCAGGCGAUACUGGAUGUCAAGCUCCCUGAAAAUUUUAACCAUCUCUUCAAGCAAGAGGGCUCUCCUUGAAAACCUCUCCCCCAUAUCUUGGUGGUUCAUUCUAUGGAGUAACCAUACUGCGAUUCGCACACUAUUCAGGUCUUCCACAUCCCUGAAUAUGAUCAUGGGUGGAGGAUGCCAAUGCUCCUUUUUGUUCUCGACGUAACUAGUUAUCCGUUGCUUAAUGACUGCAAUCUUUUCAUCUGGGGUUGCUACGUGAACAAGGAACUCAACAGCAUCUCCCAUGUCAGGACUACGACGGUAGUUACUAAUGGCUUUGGUAGAAAGAACACCGUUGGCAAUUAUAACCUUCUGGUUAUCAUAUCUUCGGAAAACAGUAGUUAAAAUAUUAAUCUCUUCUACUACCAUCUGAAAUUUGUUGAAAACAAAUUAGGCAUAUCAUGUAUAAACAAGCAAGAAAUUCAAUGAUAGGGAAGGUACAAAAUUAUGGAAGCACAAUUCAUAUAUUUGUUAAUGUACCUGAACACCAUCAAUAUCGCAGCGAUCGCCCACAUCAAAAGGGUGAAUCACAAACAAGAAGAUAAUAGCUUCAAAGACUGUUUUGCAGGUGUUUCCAAACAUAAAUGCCACAAGGAGGAGUUGGGAGCUUAUAAAAACAAGAAAUUUGCUUGUAGCAAUUCCUAGUAUGAGAAGCCAAAUAAUAGCUAUAAGGAUCCCAACCAAAACGUUCACCAUUCGAUGCAGCUUGUUCACAGCCGUUUUUGUAUCAUUCAAUGUCAAAGCAAGUGCUCUCCGUUCUCUAAAAGCAUUAACCACCCAAUUUUUCAAACAUGACUUGCUAAUUUUCUUGCUUUCAGAUGCUCCUUCAAAAAGACCCAUAGUCUUUAAAGCCUCAUCUUCUUGCAUGAAACGCAUUAUAUCCUCCAGGUAGAUAUGCCUAGACCCUGGCUUUGCCACAUUCUGGAAAAUUUUCCUUGCCGCAGCUUUGGCUUCAUAUUCGCUUCUGAUCUUUGUAGCAGAGUCAUCAUCAUCUUGACUAGUAUCACGUAUCUGUUCAUCCAGUGUGGUUAGAGCACCAUAUCGAAUUAUGUUCAUCAGCCUCUUCAUAUUCCAAGCAGAAACAUUCUUAGGAUUCAAUUUGUGCAAAUGAUCAAUUGUUAUCCCAUCUUCUUCUUCAUUGGCCUUCUUAGAAAAAGCACGAGAAAGCCUAGGGGUGCCAAUUCGAGGGCUUUUCUGUAUCCUGCCACUUCCUAGUGCUUUUACACCCUGAGCCUGAGGUGAUGGAUAGGUAGUUGCCUUAAGGCUAGCAGGCAUAGUAGCACCUGCAUUCUGUAACGUCUGUAUCUCAGCUGCAAUUUUCUCUUCCUCUUCCUCAUUCUUUUUUAUUUCAAUCAAUGGAGGACCAGAAAGUGUUUCAAUCACAUAUUGAUUAAAUAAUGACUCCUGAAUCCGAUCAAAGUAAGUACUUACAUGAAAAGAAGAUGCCAGCACCUUGACCACAAGAGUCUUCACAAGCCAUAACAAUGUACCCACCAACAAACACACCAAAAUCUUGGUCACAUAUCUAAGAGUUCUACUCCUAGUUUCCCUUUGAACUUUCUUGUCAAACAAAUAAUGCCAAGCAAUCAAAACAAGGCCCAACCAUAAGCAAUUCUGCACAGCCUUCUUGAUCCCAUAGACAAAAUACAAAACCCGCUUCCGCAAAAGAAAAUUCCUCUCAACAAAGAACACAAUGAUCCUUAUAACCCACCCAGAAACUAAUCUGCCACAUAUUAACACCAAAACGAACACUUCCCAUUUCCACAAACUAAGUUUCCACACACUUUUAUUCCUCAAAUAUGGAAUAACAAGACUACAAACUAGAGCAGCAAUGAUUAAAAUCAAACUCACCCAUUGAAGAAGAAUCCAAAUAUCAAGUUUAUCUUUCUUGUACUCUUCAGGUAUAUCCUCCUCCAAUAAGGGGUCAUCCUCUUCUUCAUCAAUCACGCUACCUUUCCCUAUAAAUCCGGACUUCAAAUGGCCUGAUCUUCCCACCACUCUCCCCGAUUUUUCCGGAGGCUGUAGGGGUGGGUCCAUCAAUCUCGACUUUUUCCCCUCCUUCAACAAAUGCGAUUUCCUCUCAAACGACGAGCUAUUGGAAAACGUCCCGUCGUUUGUAGAACUACGCUUCAAGAUCUCCACAUCACCACCACCAGCACUUGCACUAUCAGUACUCUUCUUGCUCGGCGAAUCUUUAUAUUGGUGCCUCCUCCUCACCGACUCGCUAGACCCAAGCUGAUUUGGGCCGAAGGAGACGCGGUUCACUGUGGUUGGAGACUCUGAAACCGGCGCCAAGUUCCGGUGAACGACGACUGCAUCGUUUUGAAGUUCGGCCAUCUCCAAAUCCAUAUCCAAGCAAAACUCACCGGAAGCUUUUUGUUUGUGUAAAAACUGACCAAUUAGCUUCGAGGGUGGAUCCUCCGUGGACGAUGAUGCAGCUGCACUGCCACUAGCAGUAGCGUUAAUUUGAGAAAAAUCAAACCCAAAAUUUUCACUUCCAUUGUCUACUAGCAGUUUGUCUUUAUCUUUCCCAUUCCAAAAAUCAUAGCUCGAUUCUCUCCAAAUCUUCCCGGCGUUAGUGGGUUCGAUGUUUCUAGAGUUGGGAUCACCUUCCCCGUCCAUUUUGAGAACAACCUCUCUAUGUUCAGUGGAGUUAGCGCCCAUGGCGGUGUUCUUCUUUCCCCCUUUUUUUUUCCCCUUUCUUAGAGACAAUGGUUAGUGGUUAGCUGUGUAGAAGUGUAGAUAAUCGGUGAUGAAGAAGAGGAAAGCGUGUGGACAGUAAAUGGAGUUAACUUUGAUGGUGGGAAUGCUGACUUAUGGAGGUGGUGUUUGGACGCCGGGAAAAUGCUAAAGAAAUCUGGAUGUUGAUUUUCUGAGAAUUUCUUUACAGGAAAAUUUUCGUGGACGCGUGUACUGUGAGCGAGAUUAAAUAAAGGAGUAGUUUUUUUCUUUGGAACUUCGAAGCGAAGAGAGAAAUUGAUUUCGCAGAAGAAACACGAC
Molecule: unclassified non-coding RNA, 3329 nt
Filed under: Hevea brasiliensis (rubber tree)
Lineage: Eukaryota; Viridiplantae; Streptophyta; Magnoliopsida; Malpighiales; Euphorbiaceae
Source: RNAcentral